RNAcentral lists this ribosomal RNA (1007 nucleotides) under Candidatus Zixiibacteriota bacterium. RNAcentral describes it as "candidate division Zixibacteria bacterium partial 23S ribosomal RNA". It matches the Rfam family "Bacterial large subunit ribosomal RNA", at positions 1924 to 2925 of the family's 2925-position model. Lineage: Bacteria; Pseudomonadati; Candidatus Zixiibacteriota. The record is from RNAcentral.
UAAACGGCGGCCGUAACUAUAACGGUCCUAAGGUAGCGAAAUUCCUUGUCGGGUAAGUUCCGACCUGCACGAAUGGUGUAACGAUCUGGGCGCUGUCUCGACCAUGGACUCGGCGAAAUUGUAGUCUCAGUGAAGAUACUGAGUACCCGCGAUAGGACGGAAAGACCCCGUGCACCUUUACUAUACCCUGAUAUUGAGUCCUAGCUCUGCAUGUGUAGGAUAGGUGGGAGGCGUUGAUCCAUGACCGCUAGGUCAUGGGGAGCCAACCUUGAAAUACCACCCUUGCUUUGUUGGGAUUCUAACUUCGAGCCGUGAAGCCGGCCGAAGAACAGUGUCAGGCGGGUAGUUUGACUGGGGCGGUCGCCUCCAAAAAGGUAACGGAGGCGCCCAAAGGUUCCCUCAGCACGGUCGGUAAUCGUGCGUAGAGUGUAAAGGCACAAGGGAGCUUAACUGCGAGACAGACACGUCGAGCAGGUGGGAAACCAGGGCUUAGUGAUCCGGCGGUAGAGGAUGGAAUUGCCGUCGCUCACCGGAUAAAAGGUACGCCGGGGAUAACAGGCUGAUCUCCCCCAAGAGUUCACAUCGACGGGGAGGUUUGGCACCUCGAUGUCGGCUCGUCGCAUCCUGGGGCUGAAGGAGGUCCCAAGGGUUUGGCUGUUCGCCAAUUAAAGCGGCACGCGAGCUGGGUUUAAAACGUCGUGAGACAGUUUGGUCCCUAUCCAUCGUGGGCGCAGGUGCCUUGAGAAGAUCUGUUCUCAGUACGAGAGGACCGGAAUGGACGAACCUCUAGUGUACCAGUUGUCACGCCAGUGGCACGGCUGGGUAGCUACGUUCGGAAGGGAUAAGCGCUGAAAGCAUCUAAGCGCGAAACCCACUUCAAGAUAAGGGCACCCACUCGCAAGAGUCUAAAGGCCCCUCGUAGACUACGAGGUUGAUAGGUCACAGGUGUAAAGCCGGUAACGGCAAAGCCGAGUGAUACUAAUAGGCCGUGCGACUUGGCCAUAAAU